Sapajus apella (tufted capuchin) is the source of this 141-nucleotide long non-coding RNA. RefSeq lists it as uncharacterized. NCBI's taxonomy places the organism in Eukaryota, Metazoa, Chordata, Mammalia, Primates, Cebidae. The record is from RefSeq and is a predicted model, not a curated record. The transcript has 2 exons.
AGCCAGGUGUGGUUGUGUACGCCUGUAAUCCCAGCUACUCGGGAGGCUGAGGCAGGAGAAUCGCUUGGACCCAGGAGGUAGAAGUUGCAUUGAUCCAAGAUUAUCCCACUGUACUCCAGCCUAGAUGACAGAGCAAGACUC